RNAcentral lists this ribosomal RNA (1150 nucleotides) under uncultured Thauera sp. Its description in RNAcentral is "bacterial SSU rRNA". It matches the Rfam family "Bacterial small subunit ribosomal RNA", at positions 42 to 1193 of the family's 1533-position model. The record is from RNAcentral. Lineage: Bacteria; Pseudomonadati; Pseudomonadota; Betaproteobacteria; Rhodocyclales; Zoogloeaceae.
GCGGCGCUUUCCAUGCAGUCGAACGGCAGCGGGGGCUUCGGCCUGCCGGCGAGUGGCGAACGGGUGAGUAACGCAUCGGAACGUGCCCAUGUCGUGGGGGAUAACGUAUCGAAAGGUACGCUAAUACCGCAUACGUCCUGAGGGAGAAAGCGGGGGAUCUUCGGACCUCGCGCGAUUGGAGCGGCCGAUGUCGGAUUAGCUAGUAGGUGAGGUAAAGGCUCACCUAGGCGACGAUCCGUAGCGGGUCUGAGAGGAUGAUCCGCCACACUGGGACUGAGACACGGCCCAGACUCCUACGGGAGGCAGCAGUGGGGAAUUUUGGACAAUGGGCGCAAGCCUGAUCCAGCCAUGCCGCGUGAGUGAAGAAGGCCUUCGGGUUGUAAAGCUCUUUCGGCCGGGAAGAAAUCGUGGUCUCUAACAUAGGUCAUGGAUGACGGUACCGGACUAAGAAGCACCGGCUAACUACGUGCCAGCAGCCGCGGUAAUACGUAGGGUGCGAGCGUUAAUCGGAAUUACUGGGCGUAAAGCGUGCGCAGGCGGUUUUGUAAGACAGAUGUGAAAUCCCCGGGCUUAACCUGGGAACUGCGUUUGUGACUGCAAGGCUAGAGUACGGCAGAGGGGGGUGGAAUUCCUGGUGUAGCAGUGAAAUGCGUAGAUAUCAGGAGGAACACCGAUGGCGAAGGCAGCCCCCUGGGCCUGUACUGACGCUCAUGCACGAAAGCGUGGGGAGCAAACAGGAUUAGAAACCCUGGUAGUCCACGCCCUAAACGAUGUCGACUAGUCGUUCGGAGCAGCAAUGCACUGAGUGACGCAGCUAACGCGUGAAGUCGACCGCCUGGGGAGUACGGCCGCAAGGUUAAACUCAAAGGAAUUGACGGGGACCCGCACCAGCGUGGAUGAUGUGGAUUAAUUCGAUGCACGCGAAAACCUUACCUACCCUUGACUGUCUGGAACCUUGCUGAAAAGGGAGGGUGCUUCGGAGCCAAAAACAGUGCUGCUGGCUGUCUCCACUNGGUCUGGAAUGUUGGGUAGUCCCCACANNNNACCUUGNNNAGUGCAUCAUUGGUGGNNNNAUGGAACUGGCGGANACGAGNAGUGGGUGAGCUCANNCCUNGGCUAGNNGCUCACCUUACAUGUNGUCAAGGGUCNC